RNAcentral lists this ribosomal RNA (254 nucleotides) under uncultured bacterium. Its description in RNAcentral is "partial 16S ribosomal RNA". It matches the Rfam family "Bacterial small subunit ribosomal RNA", at positions 524 to 776 of the family's 1533-position model. The record is from RNAcentral.
UACGUAGGGGGCGAGCGUUGUCCGGAUUUAUUGGGCGUAAAGAGCUCGUAGGCGGUUCGUUAAGUCGGACGUGAAAUCUCCACGCUCAACGUGGAGGGGCCGUUCGAUACUGUCGUGACUCGAGUCCGGUAGGGGAGUGUGGAAUUCCCGGUGUAGCGGUGAAAUGCGCAGAGAUCGGGAGGAACACCCGUAGCGAAGGCGGCUCACUGGGCUGACCUUGACGCUGAGGCGCGAAGGCGUGGGGAGCGAACGGG